This 415-nucleotide long non-coding RNA is filed under the name Rattus norvegicus (Norway rat). RNAcentral's name for it is "long non-coding RNA NONRATT007828". Lineage: Eukaryota; Metazoa; Chordata; Mammalia; Rodentia; Muridae. The record is from RNAcentral.
GGGAGUCCCCUAUAGAUCUCUCUUGACCCUACUUCAGGCUCACCAUUGGGUUGGGAAUAUGAUGAAUCCAGGGUUCCCUUACUUCUCUGAGGGAGACGUCAAUGCCUUCAGUUCCUUCCUUUCUGAGGAAGUAUCAAGAGAGAGGCUGGGUCCCUCUGAAUACUGUGAGUGCUUGGCUAGGCAAGGCCACUCAGCACUUGCCAGUCACUGUGCAAACAUUGUGUUUGGAAACUCUGUGGUCAGUACUGUGGUCCACCCUUGCUUGCUGACUGUGGCUGGAAAGAGCAGAAUUAGCUCUUCCUGCUUGAGUACUGCACACCCUCUAAUCAGUUAACCUCGGGCAGGUCCCCAGUUUUUUCCAGCUUUGAGCACUCUUAGAUAACAAAUCACUGUCAGUUGAAACUGCUUUUUCUGC